AGUUGCCAGUGUUGUUUGUCGUAUGUGAGUCUAUGGUGGAUGUCUUCUGCUCUAAUGUUUUGACUUCUAGUUUUUGGUUUAAAGUAAGUUUUGUUUUUAGCUUUUUUGUUAAAAUAGAUCUUAUUUUUAGUUUCUGCAAUUGGUUCCACCUCCUCUUUGUAUUGUUCAUCAAUCUGCUUAUGACAGAACUACUUGUGGUUUACCUUGAUUUUAAUCAGGAGAGACAAGGAGACAGGGUUAUCGUUGUAGAUCCAUCCCCCCCCAUGGAGUCCAGACACUGGUGUCGGAGGCGUGAGCUGAUGAUGUCGUCUGAGUGUAUGCGAUGAAGGAGCUGAUUGAACUGUGAAGACGUGGGGUUUGAUGAGAAGAAGGUUGAUGAUGUCUUCUGAGACUUGUAGGAUAAAGAGGCUGACCAAACUGCAACUCCGGACGAUGGCUGAUUCUGUGAUCUGAGGCUGAUGGGACGAAGAAGCUGCAAAGGCUGGUUGGUGAUGGGGAGGUGGAGGGUCACACUUAACGGAUGGCUUGAAUGAACUAUAGUGGAGGAGAAGGCCAUAUUUAAAAUAAGACAGCAGCAAUAUGAUAGGCUUACGAUGAUGGAGUGGAGCAGUGCUAUUGGAUAGAUGUGACCAGGUGAUGUGAACAGCUGAUAAUGACAAGAAAAUGGAGCAUGCGUGGAGGAGAGAUGUCACACAGUAUGAGAAUAAACUAUAAAAUGAGCAUGCA
Labrus bergylta (ballan wrasse) is the source of this 726-nucleotide long non-coding RNA. RefSeq lists it as uncharacterized. Lineage: Eukaryota; Metazoa; Chordata; Actinopteri; Labriformes; Labridae. The record is from RefSeq and is a predicted model, not a curated record.